Molecule: unclassified non-coding RNA, 290 nt
Filed under: Hevea brasiliensis (rubber tree)
Lineage: Eukaryota; Viridiplantae; Streptophyta; Magnoliopsida; Malpighiales; Euphorbiaceae
Source: RNAcentral
CCCGUGAUAUCAUUAAAAUCAUCGCAGCAUUCUGAAGUAUUCAGAGCAAUAGAAUUGUUAGUGGCGUAGAGAAGCUCUAACUGGUCGGCCUUGAUGGGGGAGUGAGUGAGGCUGGCGGCGAGAGGGUAAAAGUUGCGGAGGGUGAGGGAAAGUGAGUACUUGAGGUGGGGGAGUAUGGUACCCAUGAAGUGCUCGGUAGUGUGAGGAAAGGAAUAGAAGUAGAGUACUUCGACUGGAGGAUCGUCUAGGUGAAUAAUGUCAAAGAAGGUGAGAGGAAGAGGUGGAGGGGG